Molecule: non-coding RNA, 819 nt
Organism: Meleagris gallopavo (turkey)
Lineage: Eukaryota; Metazoa; Chordata; Aves; Galliformes; Phasianidae
Source: RefSeq, a predicted model, not a curated record
GGAUCUCUUUCUGGAGAUUGCUCUUCUUGGAGUCUUUUCCUGUAAGCCUAGGGCACAGUGUCAGUAGAGUUCAGAUUUGAAAGGAAUGGAGCAGCAUCCAGAGUGUUUGUUUUCAACUGUAUCCAGACAUGAGCAGUGAAGACUUCAUGAUCUUCGGUGAAGAAAUAAACAAAACAAAGAACUCUGCAGUUCUAAUAGCUAGUGUGUUGUGUUUGAGUUUCAUUUUAAAAGGAUUAAAUACUACAGAACAGGGACAAAACUCUCAAAAUCAUGACCCAACUACAUGCAUUAUCUGGCAGACUGGAAGAUAAUGACAGAUCAUUCAUAAAAUGAACUCUGUUUCUCUUAGUAUUUUAAAAUAAAACAUUAUUCUGCAUUGAGCACCUGAGACAAGAAGCAAUUUACAAGUGCUGAUACAUUGCUAUUCUCAAAGCAACAAGGCUGUCUACAUCAUCUUGUGCACUCUGCAUUAGGAUAUAAAGGAUUGUGCUAGGAUUAUAUACUGAGUGAAUGCUAGACUUUGAGCUUUUGCACUGCUUAGAAUUGAACACAUGAGAAGCACCUCAGUGUCUUUGUCAUCCCUUGCUUCACUACACUGAGGGCUUUAGCACAACUAGUAGAAGUAGACAUGACUUGGAUGGUGGUGUGAUGAAUGGGACUUGAAACACAGCACCAUUCGUGGAAUGGGUUGUCUUCAGUGAAGCCAGCCUGGGGUGGGCUAAAAGUUGUGCUGUGUUAUCCUUUGUGGCAUACUGACAAGCAGAUAAGGAUGGAAAGCAUAGCUGGUCCCCAGUGUGGAGUAACUUUUCUCACUCUCAC